Molecule: transfer RNA, 74 nt
Filed under: Mycoplasma sp. CAG:956
Lineage: Bacteria; Bacillati; Mycoplasmatota; Mollicutes; Mycoplasmatales; Mycoplasmataceae
Rfam family: tRNA
About the family: Transfer RNA (tRNA) molecules are approximately 80 nucleotides in length. Their secondary structure includes four short double-helical elements and three loops (D, anti-codon, and T loops).
Source: Rfam by way of RNAcentral
CGCGGAGUAGAGCAGCCUGGUAGCUCGCGAGGCUCAUAACCUUGAGGUCAUUGGUUCAAAUCCAUUCUCCGCAA